UUCUGGGUAGAUUGAAGCCACCUCCUCAUUAAAGAUUCAGAUUGGACGAACCAAUGUCCUAUUAGGUUCUUCAUGCGGGAAGGAAAAGUCAACACGGGAACUAAUUUCAAGGAUUGGAGUCAGGCUGAGGUCACCAUAUGGAGUUAUGUACUGCGGAUU
Long non-coding RNA from Lolium perenne, 159 nucleotides. RefSeq lists it as uncharacterized. Lineage: Eukaryota; Viridiplantae; Streptophyta; Magnoliopsida; Poales; Poaceae. The record is from RefSeq and is a predicted model, not a curated record.